RNAcentral lists this ribosomal RNA (161 nucleotides) under uncultured bacterium. RNAcentral describes it as "partial 16S ribosomal RNA". It matches the Rfam family "Bacterial small subunit ribosomal RNA", at positions 349 to 507 of the family's 1533-position model. The record is from RNAcentral.
CAGCAGUGAGGAAUAUUGGUCAAUGGGCGAGAGCCUGAACCAGCCAUCCCGCGUGCAGGAUGACGGCCCUACGGGUUGUAAACUGCUUUUCCGCAAGAAGAAUGGUCAUUACGAGUAGUGAUUUGACGGUAUUGCAGGAAUAAGCAUCGGCUAACUCCGUG